UACGUAGGUGGCAAGCGUUGUCCGGAAUUAUUGGGCGUAAAGCGCGUGUAGGUGGCCAUGUAGGUCCGCUGUGAAAACUCGAGGCUCAACCUCGAGCUGUCGGUGGAAACCACAUGGCUAGAGUCCGGAAGAGGAGAGUGGAAUUCCUGGUGUAGCGGUGAAAUGCGCAGAUAUCAGGAAGAACACCAAUGGCGAAGGCAGCUCUCUGGGACGGUACUGACACUGAGACGCGAAAGCGUGGGGAGCGAACAGG
Molecule: ribosomal RNA, 253 nt
Filed under: uncultured bacterium
Lineage: Bacteria
Description: partial 16S ribosomal RNA
Rfam family: Bacterial small subunit ribosomal RNA
Source: RNAcentral